This 326-nucleotide small RNA is filed under the name Histoplasma ohiense. Its description in RNAcentral is "hypothetical lncRNA". Lineage: Eukaryota; Fungi; Ascomycota; Eurotiomycetes; Onygenales; Ajellomycetaceae. The record is from RNAcentral.
CGGGAAACUCAGGAGUAUUAAAACAAAAAAAAAAGAAGUUGCCUUGUUCCUUUUCUUUUUGCCAUUUCUAUUCAGCUUGCCUCAUACCCACUGAAAGUCGAGACUGGAUUCUGCAAAGUUCUAUUUGUUUAUUACUAUUUCUAGUUCAUGGCAUCCCCCUUGGGUAUUAUGUCCUGGGAACAAACCCACUCCACAAGCUUUCAUGAGCCCAAGAACGCAGAAUCUCUGAAGAGAGAUAUAACAGGCCAAGAUUCUCAAUCAGUUUGAGCCCUGGAGGUCCGUGUCUAGCUUCCGCUGUCCAAUCAUACCCAAUCAGAGGGAAUACA